This is a long non-coding RNA of Marmota monax (woodchuck), 688 nucleotides long. RefSeq lists it as uncharacterized. The transcript is spliced from 4 exons. NCBI's taxonomy places the organism in Eukaryota, Metazoa, Chordata, Mammalia, Rodentia, Sciuridae. The record is from RefSeq and is a predicted model, not a curated record.
UUACUCUGAGAAGCCUUUUGAUCCUGGUUUGGAAUGUUUAAAAGUCAGCCACAUGAAGCUCCAUUUGUUUGUUGGGAGAUGGAGCAGAGCAUGUGCUUUGGUCUGAGAGCAGCAAUGGGAAAGGAUCUCACUAAAGUUUCCUGGGCUGGCGUUGAACCUGUGAUCCUCCUGGCUCAGCUUCCAGAGUCACUGGGAUCAUAGGUAUGCACCAUCACAAUGGCUUCAAAACCUUCCAUAGGCUUCUCAGGAUGCUCAGAAGAAUCCAGGUUCAAUUGGUACAUGAAAUCCAUGAAAGGAUUAAGAAAAACCUUGAGACCUUGUAAAUGCAUGCAAUUUGGCCAUGAAAGUAAAAUAUCUUGGGUGAUCAAAACAUAAGAUCCCACUAAGUUGUUGAGGCUGUCCUUGAACUUGAGAUCCUCCUGCCUCAGCCUUUCUAGUCACUGGGAUUAUGUGCAUGUGCCACCAUGCUCAGCUCAAAUACUCUUCAUUCAAAUAGUCAACAUGACCCCAUGGGAAGGGAGUAAAGAGCAUUUCUACAUUGAGAGAGACAUCACUAUCUCCCAUCCUGUACCUAAGUUCUGUCUUUGUAAGCAGAACUAGCAUAGAAAAUAGACUUUCUGUGCAUUUAUAUUCAUAAUCCUCCAUUCCUGACACAUUGGAAAUUAAAAUAUACUGUGGUUUGGUCUCA